This 1563-nucleotide unclassified non-coding RNA is filed under the name uncultured Eurotiomycetes. RNAcentral describes it as "sequence contains 18S rRNA gene, ITS1, 5.8S rRNA gene, ITS2, 28S rRNA gene". The stretch from base 540 to 1563 matches the Rfam family "Eukaryotic large subunit ribosomal RNA", at positions 1 to 961 of the family's 3401-position model. Lineage: Eukaryota; Fungi; Ascomycota; Eurotiomycetes. The record is from RNAcentral.
GGAAGGAUCAUUAACAAGCCCGUGGAGAUUAUAUUCCCAAAAGGAUGUGAUCUCUCACCCGGCCACCCUUGUUUACCUGACCCCUGUUGCUUUGGUGGGCCAGCCAGAAAGGCCGUUGGGAAACCUAGUUUCCGGGCGAGUGCUCACCAAAGUCCCGUUGAACUCUUUAUGAAGUUAUGCUGUCUGAGCACGCGAAAAUAAAUAUAUUAAAACUUUCAACAACGGAUCUCUUGGUUCUGGCAUCGAUGAAGAACGCAGCGAAAUGCGAUAAGUAAUGUGAAUUGCAGAAUUCCGUGAAUCAUCGAAUCUUUGAACGCAUAUUGCGCCCUCUGGUAUUCCGGGGGGCAUGCCUGUCCGAGCGUCAUUACUAUAUUCAAGCACGGCUUGUGUGUUGAGCAUUUUGUUCCUAUUUUUUUGUGAACAGAGGCUUGAAAUGCAGUAGCGAUGCCUAAAUUGGUUGCCUGAACGUAUGGGGCUCUUAUCACACGUUCUCUGGCUCCAGUAGUGCAUCUUGUUCCAACUUUUUUUUCCAGAAAAAUUGACCUCGGAUCAGGUAGGAAUACCCGCUGAACUUAAGCAUAUCAAUAAGCGGAGGAAAAGAAACCAACAGGGAUUGCCCUAGUAACGGCGAGUGAAGCGGCAAGAGCUCAAAUUUGAAAUCUGGCUUUUUAAAAGUCCGAGUUGUAAUUUGCAGAGGAUGCUUUGGGUGUCGGUUGCAGUUUAAGUCCCCUGGAACGGGGCAUCAUAGAGGGUGAGAAUCCCGUCUGGAACUGCUGGCCUAGCCCAUGUAAAGCUCCUUCGACGAGUCGAGUUGUUUGGGAAUGCAGCUCUAAAUGGGUGGUAAAUUUCAUCUAAAGCUAAAUACCGGCCAGAGACCGAUAGCGCACAAGUAGAGUGAUCGAAAGAUGAAAAGCACUUUGAAAAGAGAGUUAAACAGCAUGUGAAAUUGUUGAAAGGGAAGCGCUUGCAACCAGACUCGCCCGCAUCGGCUCAGCUGCCAUAUUUGGCAGUGCACUCCUUUGCGGUUGGGCCAGCGUCGGUUCCGACGGUUGGUUAAAGACUUCUGGAAUGUGUCGUCUCUCCGGAGACGUCUUAUAGCCAGGGGUGUAAUGCGGCCUGUUGGGACCGAGGAUCGCGCUCCGGGCUCGGACGCUGGCAUAAUGGUCGUAAGCGACCCGUCUUGAAACACGGACCAAGGAGUCUAACAUCCACGCGAGUGUUCGGGUGUUAAACCCGUCCGCGCAGUGAAAGCGAACGGAGGUGGGAUCUUUUUAACAAAAGUGCACCAUCGACCGAUCCUGAUGUCUUCGGAUGGAUUUGAGUAAGAGCGUGGCUGUUGGGACCCGAAAGAUGGUGAACUAUGCCUGAAUAGGGUGAAGCCAGAGGAAACUCUGGUGGAGGCUCGCAGCGGUUCUGACGUGCAAAUCGAUCGUCAAAUUUGGGUAUAGGGGCGAAAGGUGGGUUCUAAAAUUUUUUUGUUUCUUCUAGGCUUUCUGAAAAAAGACAAAUACUAAUUUUUUCUUCAAAACAGACUAAUCGAACCAUCUGGUAGCUGGUUCCUGC